Non-coding RNA from Schizosaccharomyces pombe (fission yeast), 1068 nucleotides. The record is from the annotation of a GenBank genome assembly. NCBI's taxonomy places the organism in Eukaryota, Fungi, Ascomycota, Schizosaccharomycetes, Schizosaccharomycetales, Schizosaccharomycetaceae.
UAGACUUUGUUGUCAUGCGCUUCCCUGAUACGUAAGUAAAUGACAAUUAAGAUGGAAGGGAUUGCGAAUGUCGCUUACGUGGCGAUGGGCUUGGAUGGAUGGGCAAGCGGUCAGUCGCUGUUUGUUUAUUACGGGAGGGGAGGAGGGAUGGAGAGUAAACAACGUAGUAUUGUAAUGUUUGUGUGAAGGAAUGGAAGUGUUUGUGUGUGUGUAUUGUGAGUAUAUGGAUAUUGUGAGUAAAUGAAUGUGUUGUAAUAAUAUGAAUGUGCGUGUGUGUGUGUGUGUGUGUGUGUGUGGUCGCAGCGAGUGAAAUACACAAUCAUUAAUGUUGUAUGGUUGCUUUGAUGAUUUGGGCUGCUAUGACGAGAAGCAUUGAUACUACAUGGUUUGCUCAUAUUACAGAGCCAUUGAUUUUAGUGAAUUAUGCAAGGCAUGAACGAAUGUCUUUCCCCUUGUUUUGUGGCACGAAAAGGCAUGAUUGAGGCUGUUGAACGUCGGGCGAAAGUGUUUCCUCAUGCUAUUUUUCCUCUUUCUCCUUUGUCUCUCUACUGUGCUUUACUCUGCCUUGCUUUGCUUUGCCCUGUUCUACCCUCUGAAUUUCGAUGUAAGGCGGUACAGUGUAAUUCGUUGUUUUAAGAAUAGAGUUGGAGAAUUAAUUAUUCGUAUUCCAAAACAAUUACUAAUAACUAAUGAUGUACAAUUUUUACGAUAUGGUUGUUGCGUUUUGACCAGUAGUAGCGCACACAAGGAUCGGCAUGAGGAUCGUCAGCUAAGAAGAUAGUGUGUGUAUUUGUGAGGGAUCGCCAAAAGAUAGCAAAGUGGAUGGUGUUUAAUGAUUUUCGUUAAACUUGGUUAGGGGGUUGUGGAAAGAACGCUAUUCCCUUAUAUGUUUGGUGUUUAGCGAUUUGAGAAUGAAUUUGCAACAAUUUGAUUAGAAAGAGUUUAAUCUUUAUCAUUGUGUUUAUUUAGACAGAAUGGGUUAGAAAUGAAUAGUGGGUUAGGUAUGAAGAAUUGAAUGGUUCGUAGAAAGAAUGCCGCAUAGGUCCAAAACUUGGCAGAUAUUCAAUU